RNAcentral lists this ribosomal RNA (258 nucleotides) under uncultured bacterium. RNAcentral describes it as "partial 16S ribosomal RNA". It matches the Rfam family "Bacterial small subunit ribosomal RNA", at positions 102 to 353 of the family's 1533-position model. The record is from RNAcentral.
ACGGGUGAGUAACGCGUGAGUAACCUGCCUUUCAGAGGGGGGAUAACGUUCUGGAAAAGAAACGCUAAUACCGCAUGAGACUACAGAGCUGCAUGGCUCAGUGGUCAAAGGAGCAAUCCGCUGAAAGAUGGACUCGCGUCCGAUUAGAUAGUAGGCGGGGUAACGGCCCACCUAGUCGACGAUCGGUAGCCGGACUGAGAGGUUGAACGGCCACAUUGGGACUGAGACACGGCCCAGACUCCUACGGGAGGCAGCAUG